AUGGCGGCAACUGCAGCCGCGUGCACUGGCGUCUGGCUCCGGCGAAUGCUUGGAGAUCUACUAGGUGAUCCGAGAAAAGCAACUCCACUUCUCAUUGACAACAAGUCGGCAAUCCAACUCUGCAAAAACCCUGUCUUCCAUGACAGGACCAAGCACAUCGAGACGCGGUUUCAUUUUAUCUGCGAGUGCGUUCAAGAUGGGAGGAUCGCCGUCGACCACAUCCACACCGGUGAGCAGCUGGCGGACAUCAUGACCAAGGCACUGCCUCGAGUGAAGUUUCAGGAGCUGCGGGCGAAGCUGGGCAUGAUCAACAUCAGCAACUGA
RNAcentral lists this ribosomal RNA (324 nucleotides) under Triticum aestivum (bread wheat). RNAcentral's name for it is "partial small subunit ribosomal RNA". The record is from RNAcentral. Lineage: Eukaryota; Viridiplantae; Streptophyta; Magnoliopsida; Poales; Poaceae.